This 1694-nucleotide ribosomal RNA is filed under the name Escherichia sp. 93.1518. Its description in RNAcentral is "partial 23S ribosomal RNA". It matches the Rfam family "Bacterial large subunit ribosomal RNA", at positions 1271 to 2925 of the family's 2925-position model. The record is from RNAcentral. Lineage: Bacteria; Pseudomonadati; Pseudomonadota; Gammaproteobacteria; Enterobacterales; Enterobacteriaceae.
UGCUGGAGGUAUCAGAAGUGCGAAUGCUGACAUAAGUAACGAUAAAGCGGGUGAAAAGCCCGCUCGCCGGAAGACCAAGGGUUCCUGUCCAACGUUAAUCGGGGCAGGGUGAGUCGACCCCUAAGGCGAGGCCGAAAGGCGUAGUCGAUGGGAAACAGGUUAAUAUUCCUGUACUUGGUGUUACUGCGAAGGGGGGACGGAGAAGGCUAUGUUGGCCGGGCGACGGUUGUCCCGGUUUAAGCGUGUAGGCUGGUUUUCCAGGCAAAUCCGGAAAAUCAAGGCUGAGGCGUGAUGACGAGGCACUACGGUGCUGAAGCAACAAAUGCCCUGCUUCCAGGAAAAGCCUCUAAGCAUCAGGUAACAUCAAAUCGUACCCCAAACCGACACAGGUGGUCAGGUAGAGAAUACCAAGGCGCUUGAGAGAACUCGGGUGAAGGAACUAGGCAAAAUGGUGCCGUAACUUCGGGAGAAGGCACGCUGAUAUGUAGGUGAAGCGACUUGCUCGUGGAGCUGAAAUCAGUCGAAGAUACCAGCUGGCUGCAACUGUUUAUUAAAAACACAGCACUGUGCAAACACGAAAGUGGACGUAUACGGUGUGACGCCUGCCCGGUGCCGGAAGGUUAAUUGAUGGGGUCAGCCGCAAGGCGAAGCUCUUGAUCGAAGCCCCGGUAAACGGCGGCCGUAACUAUAACGGUCCUAAGGUAGCGAAAUUCCUUGUCGGGUAAGUUCCGACCUGCACGAAUGGCGUAAUGAUGGCCAGGCUGUCUCCACCCGAGACUCAGUGAAAUUGAACUCGCUGUGAAGAUGCAGUGUACCCGCGGCAAGACGGAAAGACCCCGUGAACCUUUACUAUAGCUUGACACUGAACAUUGAGCCUUGAUGUGUAGGAUAGGUGGGAGGCUUUGAAGCGUGGACGCCAGUCUGCGUGGAGCCGACCUUGAAAUACCACCCUUUAAUGUUUGAUGUUCUAACGUGGACCCGUAAUCCGGGUUGCGGACAGUGUCUGGUGGGUAGUUUGACUGGGGCGGUCUCCUCCUAAAGAGUAACGGAGGAGCACGAAGGUUGGCUAAUCCUGGUCGGACAUCAGGAGGUUAGUGCAAUGGCAUAAGCCAGCUUGACUGCGAGCGUGACGGCGCGAGCAGGUGCGAAAGCAGGUCAUAGUGAUCCGGUGGUUCUGAAUGGAAGGGCCAUCGCUCAACGGAUAAAAGGUACUCCGGGGAUAACAGGCUGAUACCGCCCAAGAGUUCAUAUCGACGGCGGUGUUUGGCACCUCGAUGUCGGCUCAUCACAUCCUGGGGCUGAAGUAGGUCCCAAGGGUAUGGCUGUUCGCCAUUUAAAGUGGUACGCGAGCUGGGUUUAGAACGUCGUGAGACAGUUCGGUCCCUAUCUGCCGUGGGCGCUGGAGAACUGAGGGGGGCUGCUCCUAGUACGAGAGGACCGGAGUGGACGCAUCACUGGUGUUCGGGUUGUCAUGCCAAUGGCACUGCCCGGUAGCUAAAUGCGGAAGAGAUAAGUGCUGAAAGCAUCUAAGCACGAAACUUGCCCCGAGAUGAGUUCUCCCUGACUCCUUGAGAGUCCUGAAGGAACGUUGAAGACGACGACGUUGAUAGGCCGGGUGUGUAAGCGCAGCGAUGCGUUGAGCUAACCGGUACUAAUGAACCGUGAGGCUUAACCUUACAACGCCGAAGGUGUUU